AACGAACGCGUGCGGCGUGCUUAACACAUGCAAGUCGAACGGGGCUUACCUUCGGGUGAGUCUAGUGGCGGACGGGUGAGUAACGCGUGGUCAUCUGCCUAUGGGUGGGGAUAACUUCCUUAAAGGGGAGCUAAUACCGCAUAUUGCCUUUGGGUUUAAAGGAGUCUUUGACUUCGCCUGUAGAUGAGCCUGCGUGCCAUUAGGUAGUUGGUGGGUAAAGGCCUACCAAGCCAUCGAUGGCUAGCUGGUCUGAGAGGAUGAUCAGCCACACUGGGACUGAGACACGGCCCAG
Molecule: ribosomal RNA, 292 nt
Filed under: uncultured bacterium
Lineage: Bacteria
Description: partial 16S ribosomal RNA
Rfam family: Bacterial small subunit ribosomal RNA
Source: RNAcentral